Rhododendron vialii is the source of this 2988-nucleotide long non-coding RNA. RefSeq lists it as uncharacterized. The record is from RefSeq and is a predicted model, not a curated record. The transcript is spliced from 2 exons. NCBI's taxonomy places the organism in Eukaryota, Viridiplantae, Streptophyta, Magnoliopsida, Ericales, Ericaceae.
GGAAGAAAACAAACCAGCGGCAAUAUAAAUACUGGCAAUGGUAAAUGGUCUAGGGUUCUGCGAAUGAGGCUCCAAAAGAGGGAUGGGUCUUUCCAAGGGUGGUUGCCCCCUCUGAAGAUCAUCAGAGCCGAUGAUUUCUUACCAAAAUCAACAGCCCUUGUAUGUAUCUCUCUCUCUCUCUCUCUCUCUCCGCGUGUGUGUGUGUGUUCUUCUUGCUGGUAAAACAGCUUGGGAAAAUUUCACUGAUUACCCCCUGAGGUUGAACAGAGUGAUUAUUCAGUUUUCACCAGAAACUACUAGUACUACUACUCCCUCCGUUCCAAUUUAUUACUACUUCCUUUUCGGGCAACCGGACAAAGUUCCGUAUGGCUGCCGCGAAGGAGUUGAUUGAGGGUUUUGAAACAGAGACCUAAGAUGAAGAAGAAGCAGCAGACCCUAAGAUUAAGGCUAAGUUCGGCUAAAAUCAAGCAGAGGCAUUGAUCGCGAGGCCAAUCCCUUUCGGGUUUUGCCGCGAUACCUAUAAGGCUGUGAGGAUCAGUUUCGGAGCAGUUAUGAUGCAGUGAGGAGGAUCCGACCCGUGUAUUGGCGGGGCACACAGAGGGUCUGUAGGAGGUUUAUAUGGGCAACUGUUGUUGCAGCCAUGGCGGAGUCGGAUUCUCGUCCGAUCAUACGCAGGCACUUGAGACGUCUUGCUGUUGUGGCAGGGUAUCUCAGUGAGUCUCAUGGCUCCUGUUGUUGCAGCCAUGGCAGAGGGCCUCAUUUGUCUGAGAAAAAGGCGAAUCUGAGCCUUGUCUUCUCUCUUCAUAUCUUCUUCCCUCUUUUGGACUGUUCGCUUUGGGUCUCUUGAACCAUGAGCAAUAUAAAAGGAUAAUGCUAAGCAGGUCCUAUUUUUUUAGUUCAUGGUUUGGGGGAUCCUUCCCAUAAAAUUCCAAUAUAAAUAUUGACGGUGAGAAGGGAUGUAGGGUUCUGCUCAAGAAUGAGGCUUCAAAAGGGGGAAUGAGUGUUUCUAAGGGUGGUUGCCCCCUCUCAGCAACGAGAUGAUACCUGAUCAUCAUAGCCGAUGAUUUUCUUCCCAAAAUCAACAGCCCUUGUCUGUGUGUGUGUUUUUACUUGCUAGUAAAACAGCCAGGGAAAAUUUCAUUGAUUACCCCCAAAGGUAUCCAAAAGCAGAGGAAAUAGAGUUAUUAUUCAGUGUUCACCAAAAACUACUACUCCCUCCGUUCUAAAUUACUUCCUUUUUGGGCAAUUGGACAAAGUUUCGUAUGGAUUGCCCCGAAGGAGUUGACAACGCUUGCGAGAUUUUUAGAUUUUUGAACCGAGACCUAAGAAGAAGAAGAAGCAACCCCCAAAGCAUGAGGCAUUGAUCUCGAGGCCGAUCCCUUUCGGUCUUUGCCGCGAUAUGUAUAAGGCUGUGAGGAUCAGUUUCGGAGCAGAAAUUUAGAGACAACGAUCUAACCCGUUGCUUGGCGGGGCACACAGAGGGUCUGUAGGAGGCUCUUAUGGGGCACACAGAGGGUCUGUAGGAGGCUCUUAUGGACAACUGUUGUUGCAGCCAUGGCAGAGUCGGAUUCUCGUCCGAUCAUACACAGAUCUGAGCCUUUACCCUUUAUCCCCUUCAAUUUCUACGCAUAUAUUACACCCACAUACACCCCUACAUGCAUUUACAGUUCACAUAUUUAUUGAUCUGAUUUUUGUGAUUUUAGAUAGAAACAAGUCUUAAUUGGGGCAUUUUUUGGGGGUAUUUUGAUGAUUCUAAAGCUUAGUAUUUGUUUUUUGCUGUUUUUUUUUUUUGGUUUUUGUUUUUUUCACUUCAUUCGUUUGUUGAUUUAUUGGUUAGAAAGUAUUAUGCUGGGUCUUGUUUUGUGGUUAUUAAGUUUAGAACUACUCCUACUUUCAUUACUUUCACGGUACUCACUGCUCGGUGUGUAUUUAAAAAAAAAACGGACCUUCAAUUGUUGAUUCAGUUAAGGUGCCUUUCAUUAUUUUGUUGGUCACUUGUGGUAAAUUUAUUUGUGUACCAAACAAUGAAAAAUAUUUUACACAAAAAUUAUUUAUUCCAAAAUCAUUUUACAAUUUACAUCGUAAAAUAUUUGUCGUCGAAACAAACGGAGCCUAAAGGUGAUGUAUUGUGAGAAUGACCAAUUUUGUAAAGCGGAUAAUAAGUACUUAAAAAAAUAAGUGUGCCUUGUGGUGGAGAUUUGGGAUCGAACUCACGACCCCUACUUCCUGCCGUGCUAAGAAUUUUCUCUCAGAAAAAGAUGCACUGCUAUAACAAAGUGAUAUCAAUUCUCUGAAAUGGGUCUUCAGAAUUUGUUAGCCAUUGCAUGUUUACUGAGGAAAAGAUGGGGUGUGAAGUCCUGGGCCGUCAUUUUCCCUAGAAUUUCUCUGGACCAGAAGUUACCGUUGGGCUACAAGCCCGUUGGUCAGCAUUGACAUAAGUUUACAAGAACGCAGCCUUAUCGAGGAAAAGUGGGGCUGUGAAUAGAAUUUCCUUGGACCUCUCUGAAAAUGGCUGUCAUUGGCAGAAUGACUGAAACACCCGCCUGGCUUUCGGCGCGGGCCAAUAUAAAUAUGGACGUGAGGAAGCGUUUAGGGCUAAAAAUCUCAUUAGUUUAAGUAUGAGGCUCGAUCAAAGGGAUGGGGAAGUUUCUAAGGGUGGUUGCCCUCUCUGUACAAGAUGAUCUCUUUCUUUCCAGAUCGAUCUUCUUGGAGCCGAUGAUUAUCAUAUAUACAAGAUUCAACAGCCCUUCUGCAUACAUACACUCGUACAUAUAUAUAUAUAUUGAAGUGGCUGUGAAAAGCGCGCUCUCUCUCUCUCUGUGCCAAUUUGAAUGAGGCUGUGAUGAUAUUUUCGAACAAAAUCAGGAACUUGAGGACUACUCUUGUUUUGGCGGGGUAACUCAGUGAGUCUUUCAUGGCUCCUGUUGUUGCAGCCAUGGUGGAGGGCCUCAUUUGACUGAGAAAAGGCGAAUCUGAGCCUUGUCGUCU